AUGCCGCGUGAGUGAAGAAGGCCUUCGGGUUGUAAAGCUCUUUUGUCAGGGAAGAAACGGUUCUGGCUAAUACCCGGAGCUAAUGACGGUACCUGAAGAAUAAGCACCGGCUAACUACGUGCCAGCAGCCGCGGUAAUACGUAGGGUGCGAGCGUUAAUCGGAAUUACUGGGCGUAAAGCGUGCGCAGGCGGUUGUGCAAGACAGAUGUGAAAUCCCCGGGCUCAACCUGGGAAUUGCAUUUGUGACUGCACGGCUAGAGUGUGUCAGAGGGGGGUAGAAUUCCACGUGUAGCAGUGAAAUGCGUAGAGAUGUGGAGGAAUACCGAUGGCGAAGGCAGCCCCCUGGGAUAACACUGACGCUCAUGCACGAAAGCGUGGGGAGCAAACAGGAUUAGAUACCCUGGUAGUCCACGCCCUAAACGAUGUCAACUAGUUGUCGGGUCUUAAUUGACUUGGUAACGCAGCUAACGCGUGAAGUUGACCGCCUGGGGAGUACGGUCGCAAGAUUAAAACUCAAAGGAAUUG
RNAcentral lists this ribosomal RNA (525 nucleotides) under Noviherbaspirillum soli. Its description in RNAcentral is "bacterial SSU rRNA". It matches the Rfam family "Bacterial small subunit ribosomal RNA", at positions 394 to 912 of the family's 1533-position model. The record is from RNAcentral. Lineage: Bacteria; Pseudomonadati; Pseudomonadota; Betaproteobacteria; Burkholderiales; Oxalobacteraceae.